This 382-nucleotide ribosomal RNA is filed under the name uncultured archaeon. Its description in RNAcentral is "bacterial SSU rRNA". It matches the Rfam family "Archaeal small subunit ribosomal RNA", at positions 471 to 851 of the family's 1478-position model. The record is from RNAcentral.
UAAAACCAGCUCAUAGAGUGGUGAUCAUGAUUAUUUGGCUUAAAGUGUGCGUAGCAGGGAAUUCUAAGUCCUCUGUGAAAUGCUAGGUCUUAAGCUUAGCACGUGCAGAGGAUACUGGAAUCCUUGGGACCGGGAUAGGUGUAAUGUACGGGUUGGGUAGGGGUGAAAUCCGAUAAUCCAAGCCGGACAACCGGUGGCGAAGGCGUUACACUGGAACGGGUCCGACUGUGAGGCACGAAAGCUAGGGUCGCGAGCCGGAUUAGAUACCCGGGUAGUCCUAGCUGUAAACGAUGCUCACUAAGUGUUAGGUAAUGCAAGACAUUCUCUAGUGCCGAAGCGAAAGCGUUAAGUGAGCCGCCUGGGAAGUACGUUCGCAAGAAUG